GGGACACAUCACAAUGCACCUAAGAAUCUCUAGCUCUUGCAUCUGAGUUCUGAAGGGAGAUUCCCCCAUGGUGAUGUGGAUUCCUUGAUUUAAAUCCCGCCUCCUCAGAGGGAAGUCUGUGGUCAAGACACCCCACAGGACUGCGGCUCUCCAGACAAUCUGAUUUGGAAGAAAUUGAUUUCUCAAAAUGGAUUUGGAAGAGCAAAGAGCCAAGAAUAACUGAGAAGCAAUUUUGAAAAAGUAGAACGUGGAAGAACUUGCCUUACCAGAUAUCAAGAUUUAUUAUCAAAAUAUUUUGUAAUGAAGACAACAGACUUUGGGCAAAAGGAUAAACCUUGGAACCGAACAGAAAGCCUAGCCACUGGCCCACCCAUGUUUGGAAACAAUACCAGGCAGAGAUGACGUUACAAAUCCAUGUGGGAAGGGUGGUCUAUUUAAUAAAUGAGUCCUAGGAACAGCUUUUAUCCAUAUGGAAAAUACGAAAUUAGAUUUCUUACUUUGAUCAACCUUAUGUAGCUUAAAGAACUAAAGACAAAAAGCAGACCUUUUAAGCAUAAGGUGAAAAUACAGAAAAAUUCUUCAAGACCUUAAGAACAAUUUCUCUUCAAGAAAGCAAAUGAACAAAAGAGAGAACAUAAAAAAUCAAUAAUUUUGACUUUAUUGAAAUUAAUUUCUUCAUAACAAAAGGCCAUUAUAACAAAGUGAAAAACAAGCCAUAGCCUGAGAGAAGGCACUUGCAAUGAGUGUAACAUGUAAGGAAAUCUCUCAAAAGAAUUAGAAAGAGAUAAAUAGCACUUGGGAAGAAAUCAGCAAAGAAUAUAAACUACCAAUUUGUAGAAGAGGAAUCCCAGAAGGUCAAUAGAAAUACAAAAAGAUGCUUGCUUCCCCUAUUAAUCAAAGAAAUACAAAUCAAAACAAUAAAAUAUUAUUCACACCUACAAGAUCACCAAAAAUUUAUGUCAGCCAGUGCCAAGUGUUGGCAGAGCUGUUAAAUCAUGGAAACUCACUCCCUGCUAGUGGGAUUUAGACAGACCUGAAGCAAAUAAGGCAAUAUGCUAAUAUUUGCUAAAGCUGAUGUGGCCAUCAUUAGCGCUGCCCACCAACCGAGUAUAUCUGGCUCUCUGCCUUCCAGGCCCAUGGUAGGACUGCAUUUCCCAUCCACUCUGAAGUUAGGGGUGGCCUUGAGACUGACUUUGGCCAAUGAACUGGAGUGGAAGUGACUUCUAUUUCUGGCCUCAUGAACCAGUGCACAAAAAUUUUGUCCAACAUGGCAGCACAGAGUCAAAUCUUCUCACUUCCUUGGUCCCCGAGCAGACACCAUGUCUCCAAGCAGCCCAUGGAGGAUGGGUGGAUUGGUAAGACGAACCUUUGUUGCUCUCAGCCACUGAGAUUUGGGAUGUUUGUUAGCACAGCACAACCAAGUCUUUUCCUGACUGAUACAGCCAGGAAGUUGGUCUACGGGGGUUUCCUGUAUUGUUAGUCUCUGACUUUAUCUACAUAUUGAAAAA
This is a long non-coding RNA of Canis lupus familiaris (dog), 1508 nucleotides long. RefSeq lists it as uncharacterized. The transcript has 3 exons. NCBI's taxonomy places the organism in Eukaryota, Metazoa, Chordata, Mammalia, Carnivora, Canidae. The record is from RefSeq and is a predicted model, not a curated record.